AGAGUUUGAUCCUGGCUCAGGAUAAACGCUGGCGGCGUGCUUUAAGCAUGUAAGUCGCACGGAUCCGCGCAAGCGGGUCAGUGGCAGACGGCUGAGGAAGACGGAAGAAACCUGCCCCUCGGAGGGGGAUAACUCCGCGAAAGCGGGGCUAAGACCGCGUACGCUCGAGUGGGGGAGAACCAGUCGAGGAAAACGGGAACGUGCCGAGGGAGGGGCUUCCGGCCCAUCAGGUCGUUGGUGGGGUAACGGCUCACCAAGCCGAUGACGGGUUGCUGGUCUGAGAGGAUGACCAGCCAGACUGGGACUGAGACACGGCCCAGACUCCUACGGGAGGCAGCAGCUAGGAAUCUUGCGCAAUGGGCGAAAGCCUGACGCAGCGACGCCGCGUGGGGGACGACGGUCUUCGGAUUGUAAACCCCUUUUGGGUGGGACGAGGUAGGACGGUACCACCCGAAGAAGCCCCGGCUAACUACGUGCCAGCAGCCGCGGUAAUACGUAGGGGGCGAGCGUUGUCCGGAUUUACUGGGCGUAAAGAGCGCGUAGGUGGUCGGGUAGGUUGGUGGGGAAAGGUUGGGGCUCAACCCCAACAGGUCCACCAAGACCGCGCGACUGCGAGGGCAGUAGAGGAAGGUGGAAUUCCGGGUGUAGUGGUGAAAUGCGUAGAGAUCCGGAGGAACACCGGUGGCGAAGGCGGCCUUCUGGGCUGUCCCUGACACUGAGGCGCGAAAGCGUGGGGAGCGAACUGAAUUAGAUACUCAGGUAGUCCACGCCCUCAACGAUGGACACUAGGUGUGGGGGGUAUCGACCCCUCCCGUGCCGGAGCUAACGCAGUAAGUGUCCCGCCUGGGGAGUACGGCCGCAAGGCUAAAACUCAAAGGAAUUGACGG
Molecule: ribosomal RNA, 887 nt
Filed under: uncultured bacterium
Lineage: Bacteria
Description: bacterial SSU rRNA
Rfam family: Bacterial small subunit ribosomal RNA
Source: RNAcentral